This is a long non-coding RNA of Setaria italica (foxtail millet), 1015 nucleotides long. RefSeq lists it as uncharacterized. The record is from RefSeq and is a predicted model, not a curated record. The transcript is spliced from 2 exons. Lineage: Eukaryota; Viridiplantae; Streptophyta; Magnoliopsida; Poales; Poaceae.
AGCUAUUUUGCGCGUGCUACCAACUGUAGAUUAUUGUUGGCUAAUUUUCGCCAACCGAACGUUCUCAACUUGUGAUGUAACUGCUGUAUCAUACAAAUUUCCUAAGAAUAGUAGCAAAUCAUGUUGUCCCCACAAAAAAAAACUGUUUUGACAAAUUUCCUAAGAAUAGUAGCAACUCAUGUUGUCCCCACAAAAAAAAAACUUGUGAUGUGCCGGAUCGACGUCGUCCAAGCCCCAGGGUGGGCUCUCCCUGCAGCCCCAAGGUCGGUCUCUACUCUCCCCCAAGGUCGUCUCUCUCGCCGGCGUGGGUUGUUCUUGCCUGCUCAUCGCCGAUUCCCCCCUCCUUGGACCCGGAUCUGCCGUCUCCUGGGUCGUAGCGGCCGUAUUGCUGGUGCAGGUCGCCGUGCUUGCACACCGCCGCCGGGUACCUCCCGUCGCUUUGGUCGCCUCUACUGCCCCUCCUGUCCUCGGAUCUCAGCUCCAUGGGCACAAGGUGGCUGCUUUCGUCGUCUGUUGGUGGUGGUGCCUAUUACAGUCAUGGUUGUCUUUGCUCUUGGGUGGCCUUCUUCUUCUUGUUUGUGCCGUGCAGGUGUGCUUCAUCGUCGACAUGGAGUGCCCACCGCCGCUGCGUUGCCUUUCUUCUAGACCUUCGUCACGAUUGUGUGGAGUUGGGCUUUGGGGGCUACGGGUGAAAACUCUGCCCCGGCCUUCGCCGGUGCCGGCAACGGCUGCGUCCACGGAUGUAGCUCACCUUGCUGGGACAUUGCUGAGGCCACCAAGUCCAUUUGAUUGAUUUCGCCAUGUGAAGACUUAGUCCGCUCCUCCUGGACGGACGGAUGAUGGCGGCCUAUUCAAGGUUCUAUUAUCUUAGGCCGUGUUAAUGGGUUGUGGUGGUGUGGAUUUCUUUCUACUGUUGUUGUGUUUGAGUUGCUUGUCUGUUGCCACCAUCUAUGUGGUAACCCUCGUAACAAAUUGACAUAAAGGAAUUGAAACGAAAAUAAAGUUUUUUUUUUUA